GUGGGGCGGUGGUGACGGAGCGAGGGGGCCGGCUCCGCUUGAGAGGCAGCCGCAUCCGGAGGGGGAAGGCAGGGCCCGGCCGCGGCGGCAGGGAACCAGGGCGGUAGCCGCGAGGGGAGAGCGGGCGAGGAGGAGCCGGGUUGGGCCGCGCCGCGCCGCGCCGCCGCUCUGUCCCCGCGGGCGGCCGGGAUGGAUCACCACCAGCCCGCCAGCCGCUACCAAGUGCAAUCAGUCAGCAUUACAACAGAGGAGAGGCAGACUCAGCUUACGCAAGUAAUGAGAUUUAUGCAAAACACACAAAACCUUCUGAAGCUUCACAAUGAAGAUGAUCCUCCAGAGUCAACUGUUGAAGAGCCAUCCACUUCGACAGAGACUGCACAAAAUUCUCAACCAGCAGCUUUAUCUGAAGCAGAUGUUUCUCCUCCACCUUAUUGUAGUAUUGCUGUAGAAGCAGCUGCAGCCUCAGAAACACCUAAUGAAUUUUACCCUGUACCACCUCCAUAUAGUGUAGCUACCUCUCUUCCUACUUAUGAUGAAGCAGAGAAAGCCAAAGCUGCAGCAAUGGCAGCUGCUGCAGCAGAAGCUGCCCAAAGACACGGCCAGUUUAGGGAGUCUAGGAGUCUGUUUGAUGAAAUAUUCCUCAGUCCACCAGAGGAAGAAGAAUAUCCACCUCGGGAUGACUUCAGUGAUGCAGAUCAACUUAGAGUUGGCAAUGAUGGCAUCUUCAUGUUGGCAUUUUUCAUGGCAUUUAUUUUCAACUGGAUUGGAUUUUGUUUAUCCUUCUGUAUAACUAACACCAUAGCAGGAAGGUAUGGUGCAAUCUGUGGAUUUGGCCUAUCGCUGAUCAAAUGGAUUCUCAUUGUACGGUUCUCAGACUACUUUACUGGAUAUUUCAAUGGACAGUACUGGCUUUGGUGGAUAUUUCUUGUACUUGGUCUCCUCCUGUUCUUCCGAGGAUUUGUCAAUUACCUUAAAGUCCGAAACAUGUCUGAAAGCAUGGCAGCUGCUCAUAGAACAAGAUUUUUCUUCUUGUAUUAGAGAUCCUCCAGUUCAGCCACUCUGGUCUCCAAAGCCCGUAUGCAGUCUGAGGGCCAGCAGCUCCUUGCAAUGAAUGCACACACAUGCCACCCACCCAUAAGGUUUUCCCAGAAUGAGUCAGAAAGAAGAUAAACUGAGGUCAAAACAUACAGAGGAGAACUUCAGCCUACUCUGUGGAGCCUCUGCCUACGUUGUCCCCAGGAUUCCAUACCAUUAAGUGAAGCAUUCUUGGAGGCUGGGCUCCUCUGCCAGAUUGUAUAUCCCAUGAUGAAGCAUAAUCUCCCCUCUUGCUGAGCCACUGCAUGCAUCAUAGGAGUCCCUGGCUCUGAUGGAUGAUGGCAGAUGUAGUCCAGCUGGGGAACCCAGUCCAUAGAGGAUAAUGGGGGUAUGAAGCACCGAAAUUACAGCCCCUAUGAUGCAUUGUGGCAGCAUUUCUGAACUGAAGAUUUUCAAUGAAAAAAUCAAAAUUUUCUAUGCAAGCAGCUGGUUUAUGUCUGUCACAAGCAAUGGAAGGACAUUUCCGAGCUGGAAAUUACUGAAAGGAUCCAGUGCUGAUGGCUUUUGGAGCUGCCAAUCCAGAGAGCAGCUUUUGGCUCCUGCUGAGUACAGUAUGUCUGCAGUUUGACCAUUUAUCUCACUUUUUACAUACUUGAGCUGAAAAAAAAAAAAAGGAUUGUGCAAACACUCACAGCUCAUUCCCUCACACCUCUUCCUCCCCACCCUCUCCUUAUCAAGUAUUGCAGCAGCACUAAAAUGUGUCAAAUAAGCUGAAUGAAGCUGUCUAGUUUUGAGAUAUUAACAGGGAAUUACAUCAUGGUUAAAAUGUAUGACUUUGAAAUUAUCAUUGGCUAAUGAUUAUGUGAAAAAACAAUAAAACUCUCCCAACCACAAUGGGCAAUGCCAGACUAAAUUACAGUUAAAUGCUUUAGGCCCAAAUUUUCAAACUUAGGUGCCUGAAGAUGGGCAUCUAAAGCCAAUUAGGCAUUUGAGUACGUGAACUGAUGUUCAGAGGUGCUGAGCUUAAGGUGCUUAAGAGCAGCUGGUGAUCAGCUCAUCUGUGGGGGAAGGGGGGAAAUAUCAGACCAUGUAUUUAGAUGCCUAAAUAUGGGUUUAGGUGCCUAACUUCAGGCAUCCAGCUUAGAAAAUGUUGGCCUUCAGACUAUCUGGGGCUAAAGGAGAGUACCUCCAGCUUCUAAGCGGCAAGGAAAAAGUGAAAUAUAUAUUCCAGGAUUUUGCUGCUGGGUGUAGAAGAAGAAGAGAUCAGAAUUAACAACAGGGAGGCAACGUCUCCACACCAAGUACAUUCUGUUUAACUUGGCCUAUCGCAGAUAGUUCUACAGAGGCAGCACACCCUGCUUCCAUUGGUUCAGUAGAAGGUCAGGAAUUUUUGAACCAGACUGUAGUGAGAUUGAAGGAGAUCUGCUAAAAUAAAUGCUGUUACUGUUUGUUCUACCUUUUUUAUUAAAUUUUAAAUUGCUUCUUAACGUUCCUUCGGCUUAAAGAGCCCUUGUUUGUCUGCCCAGUCAUAUAAAACAAGAGUAAUCUUGGCUGUUUAAUCUCUAUGAUAUAGUUCUUUAUGCAUUCUUCUCAUUCUCAGUCUCUCCCAUGCCCUUUGUUAAAGCCACUUCAGCUUCAACCAGUUGUUCCUCUCCAUCACAGUCUUCGUUUCUUCUCUCUCUGCCACUACGGUUAUUCAGUAAAAGUAUGUUUAUACAAGGAGGAAUGCUAUCUUCCUGCCCUGGUCAUUUUAGCUCACCUGUUGGUCAAAACCAUUCACAUCCGCCUGCUUCUCAGACGCCAUGGAGACUGCAUGUAAAGCUGAAAUGAGGUGACAAAAACAUCAUAAAAAGGUCUGUUUGCUUCAAGUCAGAUAUUGAGGAACUCCUGAUAUGUAGCCACCAGGUAAGUGGAAGUAAACAUCCUUCUGACUAUACAGGAUAAAGAAAGCUCACAAUAAUGUCUCUUGUUUCUUAUCUUUAGUCUUCAAUGAGGUGUCACCAGAUGUCAGGAACUGGAAUGAGCUUCACCCUCCUCCACCUCCCGCCCCUUUUCACUGGCAUAUUAUACCAGCUCAACUGAUAUAUCAACUGAGUAAAGGUGUAGCGUAUGUCAUGUUUGACAGAGAUGAAAUACCCAUUUAUAAUUUCUUUAAUCAAUGCUUUCUUUCUCUUCUACUGAUAGGCCGUGGAGAUAGUCAAAACAACUGCUAUGUUUUGCAGAAGCAGUGGGAACUAAACCAGCCUACUUACACCACCACAUACCUCUUCGAGUUGCUGUUCAGAUACACAUGUAAAUAGUGUGACAUAAUAUUUGUAAAUACAGAGAAAGAAUGAUGAAAGUUCAAGUCCACCGAUGUCUACUAUACCCUGGACUAGUGUAUAGAUUUCAGGUAGGACUGUACUGAAGAUCCCAGUAAGAAAGGAAUAGUUUAGCUCACGUUAAGUACUAAAAUAAUGGAAAGACUCAUUCACGAAUUAACUAUUUGCAGAUGUACAGAGAAACAUUUGGGAAUAAUUUGAUUAAUAUUGUUUGCUCAGUGCUGCUGCAGGACAAACAAUGGGAGAGAAAUUAUUUGAAUAAUUUGACAAUUGAUGGAAACAACCAGUCUAUUUACUAUUUAUCCUAAAGCAUGUUUUUACUGAAUAGAAAAGCUCUCUAAAGCCUGGAUCUUAUAACUGGAUAUUUGUGGGUGUGCUUAGCCCAUGCAGAGCCAACUGGGCUUCAUGCAAGUGCAAGGAUCUGUCCAUGUGGAUUCAAUUGCAGGGUCAGGCCUUGGCCUCCCUCAGUGUCUGAGCAAGUGGGAUUGCUUGCUUCAUGAUAUACGUGUGGAACUUUUGCAGAGAAGACUGAGGCUCAGUUAAUACAGUGUUGAGGGCAAUAUAGAUAAAAAGUUGGUAUUUUUAUCUUAUAUCUACCCCAGCUGCAUAAAGGUUGUAAGUAAAACUGUCAAUAAUCAAAAAAUGUUCUGUGCCAUAGAGCCCACACAAACCUGGUAGAAUAUCAACCAUCCUUUGAAAUGAUCAACCAGGGAGAAUUCCACUGACAUGCAGAUAUUUACUUCCAACUGCCACUGAGACCUUAGCUAUAGCAUAUCGCCAGCAGCAAGGCAGCAGCAUCCGACCCCUCCCCAGGCUCUCCCUCAAUUAAACUGGAGACUCCGCCUUUUAUAUUUCCUGUUCUCCCCUCUGCUUCCAGUGCAAGGGGCAGGCCCGGCCUGGCUCUAUCCACCAGGGGCAUGAUUCCUCCCUGUUUGUGUCAGAGAGAAGCCCUUCAGCCUCACUACAAACUCCUUUCUCUUAUCAACUCAGCUAAUUAUUAUUGCGAUCUCCUUAGCAGGGAAAGAGGUGUGCAGUGGUUGAGGACUUUAUUCCUUUACUAUGUAAGGGGACUGUUGCCUGCUUACUAACAUUCAGUGGGGGUGUUUUGGUUGGCUAGCUCCCAGAACGAAAAGGGGGAAGGGUCGAUGGGGAAUCAGGACCCUGAGACUGACAGCCCCCAGGAACAAUGGGGAGAGGCCAAUGCUCCAGGUCAGCCUGAAUGACAGGGUGGGCAGGCUAAUCAGGGAGUCAGGAGGCCAGGGAGGUCCCGUCCUCCAUGGGAGCUGGACUUGCCUGGGUCAGACAGAGUGGGGCCGAGCUAAGGAGAAAGCAGGGGCCUGAGCUGAGCUGAGCUGAGCUGGGGAGCAGAGCUGUGCCAGAUCCAGAGAGAGCAGACCCUGUCCUAGGAGCAGAGCUGCAGCCCCAAAGCCAGAGGCACAGCCCAGAGAGAGCAGGCUUGCCCUGGGAGCAGAGCUGCAGCAACCAGAGCCAGAGGGGCCAGAAAAGCAGCCCACGAAGCAGGUCAGUGCUGGGAGCAGAGUCACAGAAGCAGCCUGCAGAGCAGACCUGUCCUGGGAGCAGAGCUGCAGCAACCAGAGGCAGAGGGGCCAAAGAAGCAGCCCAGGGAGCUGGAGGCAGAGCAGCAGCAGCGCUGCGACAGAGUGGUGGAGCUGGGGCUGGAGCAGUCCGGAGCUGGGUGCGGUGAGCAGCUGGGCAGAGCGAGGGGGACCCUGGGCAGCGGGCCCAGCACAGGGAGACACCUCAGCCAAGGGGCUCUGCAGGCCAGGCUUGGAUCCUAACCCCGACAGGGCGGGGGCGACACUGGGAAGAUGUGUCCUACCACUUAGAGCCUGAGAGCGUGUGGCCACCACCAGAGCAAGUGUCCAACCCACAGCAUCCCUGCAGCACAGCCAGGGCCUGAGAAGAAGGCCUGGGACUUACAAGGAACAGACUCUGAACUGCUCUGACAUUCCAGAGACACUGUUUGUGAUGUUCCCUGCCACAGAGCGGGGUGAUGUGUUUCCUUUAACCUUUCCCAUUUUUCCUUAUUCUUUUUAAAAUUAAUUGUUGAUUAAAUAACUUGCAUUUGCUUUAA
Molecule: non-coding RNA, 5451 nt
Organism: Caretta caretta (loggerhead turtle)
Lineage: Eukaryota; Metazoa; Chordata; Testudines; Cheloniidae
Source: RefSeq, a predicted model, not a curated record